RNAcentral lists this ribosomal RNA (133 nucleotides) under uncultured bacterium. RNAcentral's name for it is "partial 16S ribosomal RNA". The record is from RNAcentral.
GGUUACGUCAAGACCCACGGUUAUUAACCGUAGGCUUUUCUUCUCUACUGAAAGUGCUUUACAACCCGCAGGCCUUCUUCACACACGCGGCAUUGCUGGAUCAGGGUUGCCCCCCAUUGUCCAAUAUUCCCCA